Molecule: ribosomal RNA, 419 nt
Filed under: Pseudomonas graminis
Lineage: Bacteria; Pseudomonadati; Pseudomonadota; Gammaproteobacteria; Pseudomonadales; Pseudomonadaceae
Description: bacterial SSU rRNA
Rfam family: Bacterial small subunit ribosomal RNA
Source: RNAcentral
GGGAAUUUUUCACAAUGGGCGCAAGCCUUAUGAAGCAAUGCCGCGUGAACGAUGAAGGUCUUAUAGAUUGUAAAGUUCUUUUAUAUGGGAAGAAACGCUAAAAUAGGAAAUGAUUUUAGUUUGACUGUACCAUUUGAAUAAGUAUCGGCUAACUAUGUGCCAGCAGCCGCGGUAAUACAUAGGAUGCAAGCGUUAUCCGGAUUUACUGGGCGUAAAACGAGCGCAGGCGGGUUUGUAAGUUUGGUAUUAAAUCUAGAUGCUUAACGUCUAGCUGUAUCAAAAACUGUAAACCUAGAGUGUAGUAGGGAGUUGGGGAACUCCAUGUGGAGCGGUAAAAUGCGUAGAUAUAUGGAAGAACACCGGUGGCGAAGGCGCCAACUUGGACUAUCACUGACGCUGAGGCUCGAAAGCGUGGGAAG